Pelobates cultripes (western spadefoot toad) is the source of this 341-nucleotide non-coding RNA. The record is from the annotation of a GenBank genome assembly. Lineage: Eukaryota; Metazoa; Chordata; Amphibia; Anura; Pelobatidae.
CAGAUGUCUGCCAAAGAGUGGGGAAGAGAAGGGACCAGCACAGGGCCCCCCUCCAUCCCCUACCUAUUAGUGAAGAUCCGUUAUGUCCGUUACAUUAUAGUUGCGCAGGCACUUUGGUGACCCUAGAGAACCUCUGGCCCAUCGCACGUCCCGUGCCGGUGACAAAACAUUCGGAUGUCUGCCCUAUCAAUUUUUGAUGGACUUUCUGCGUCUACCAUGGUGACUACGGGUAACGAAGAAUCAGGGUUCGAUUCUGGAGAGGGAGCCUGAAAAACGGCUACCACAUCCAAGGAAGGCAGCAGACGCGCAAAUUACCCACUCCUGACGCGGGGAGGUAGUGA